CGGACGGGUGAGUAAUGCUUGGGAAUCUGGCUUAUGGAGGGGGAUAACUACGGGAAACUGUAGCUAAUACCGCGUAAUAUCUUCGGAUUAAAGGGUGGGACUUUCGGGCCACCUGCCAUAAGAUGAGCCCAAGUGGGAUUAGGUAGUUGGUGGGGUAAAGGCCUACCAAGCCGACGAUCUCUAGCUGGUCUGAGAGGAUGACCAGCCACACUGGAACUGAGACACGGUCCAGACUCCUACGGGAGGCAGCAGUGGGGAAUAUUGCACAAUGGGGGGAACCCUGAUGCAGCCAUGCCGCGUGAAUGAAGAAGGCCUUCGGGUUGUAAAGUUCUUUCGGUGAUGAGGAAGGUGUUUGUUUUAAUAGAACAAGCAAUUGACGUUAGUCACAGAAGAAGCACCGGCUAACUCCGUGCCAGCAGCCGCGGUAAUACGGAGGGUGCGAGCGUUAAUCGGAAUGACUGGGCGUAAAGGGCACGCAGGCGGUGACUUAAGUGAGAUGUGAAAGCCCCGGGCUUAACCUGGGAAUUGCAUUUCAUACUGGGUCGCUAGAGUAUUUUAGGGAGGGGUAGAAUUCCACGUGUAGCGGUGAAAUGCGUAGAGAUGUGGAGGAAUACCGAAGGCGAAGGCAGCCCCUUGGGAAUAUACUGACGCUCAUGUGCGAAAGCGUGGGGAGCAAACAGGAUUAGAUACCCUGGUAGUCCACGCUGUAAACGCUGUCGAUUUGGGGAUUGGGCUUUAAGCUUGGUG
Molecule: ribosomal RNA, 747 nt
Filed under: uncultured Actinobacillus sp.
Lineage: Bacteria; Pseudomonadati; Pseudomonadota; Gammaproteobacteria; Pasteurellales; Pasteurellaceae
Description: bacterial SSU rRNA
Rfam family: Bacterial small subunit ribosomal RNA
Source: RNAcentral